Molecule: ribosomal RNA, 515 nt
Filed under: uncultured bacterium
Lineage: Bacteria
Description: partial 16S ribosomal RNA
Rfam family: Bacterial small subunit ribosomal RNA
Source: RNAcentral
GAUGAACGCUGGCGGCGUGCCUAAUACAUGCAAGUCGAGCGAAUGGAUUAAGAGCUUGCUCCUAUGAAGUUAGCGGCGGACGGGUGAGUAACACGUGGGUAACCUGCCCAUAAGACUGGGAUAACUCCGGGAAACCGGGGCUAAUACCGGAUAACAUUUUGAACCGCAUGGUUCGAAAUUGAAAGGCGGCUUCGGCUGUCACUUAUGGAUGGACCCGCGUCGCAUUAGCUAGUUGGUGAGGUAACGGCUCACCAAGGCAACGAUGCGUAGCCGACCGGGGAGGGUGGACGGCCACACUGGGACUGAGACACGGCCCAGACUCCUACGGGAGGCAGCAGUAGGGAAUCUUCCGCAAGGGACGAAAGUCUGACGGAUCAACGCCGGUGGAGUGAUGAAGGCUUUCGGGUCGUAAAACUCUGUUGUUAGGGAAGAACAAGUGCUAGUUGAAUAAGCUGGCACCUUGACGGUACCUAACCAGAAAGCCACGGCUAACUACGUGCCAGCCGCCGCCGUAA